Molecule: ribosomal RNA, 495 nt
Filed under: Clostridioides difficile
Lineage: Bacteria; Bacillati; Bacillota; Clostridia; Peptostreptococcales; Peptostreptococcaceae
Description: partial 23S ribosomal RNA
Rfam family: Bacterial large subunit ribosomal RNA
Source: RNAcentral
AAGACUAUCAAACUCCGAAUGCCGUCAUCUUAUACUUGGGAGUCAGACUGUGGGUGAUAAGAUUCAUAGUCGAAAGGGCAACAGCCCAGAUCGUCAGCUAAGGUCCCUAAAUGUAAGUUAAGUGGUAAAGGAUGUGGGAUUGCACAGACAACCAGGAUGUUGGCUUAGAAGCAGCCACUCAUUCAAAGAGUGCGUAAUAGCUCACUGGUCGAGUGAUCCUGCGCCGAAGAUUUCCGGGGCUAAAACUUACUACCGAAGCUACGGCAUCAGUAAUGAUGGGUAGGGGAGCUUCCCAUACGGGUUGAAGCAUGACCGUAAGGACAUGUGGACAGUAUGGGAGUGAGAAUGUUGGCAUGAGUAGCGAGAUGUGGGUGAGAAUCCCACAGGCCGUAAACCCAAGGUUUCCAGGGGAAGGUUCGUCCGCCCUGGGUUAGUCGGGACCUAAGCUGAGGCCGAAAGGCGUAGGUGAUGGACAACAGGUUGAUAUUCCUGUAC